RNAcentral lists this transfer RNA (86 nucleotides) under Gracilaria caudata. RNAcentral describes it as "Crassa caudata tRNA-Tyr". It matches the Rfam family "tRNA". Rfam says of the family: Transfer RNA (tRNA) molecules are approximately 80 nucleotides in length. Their secondary structure includes four short double-helical elements and three loops (D, anti-codon, and T loops). Further hydrogen bonds mediate the characteristic L-shaped molecular structure. tRNAs have two regions of fundamental functional importance: the anti-codon, which is responsible for specific mRNA codon recognition, and the 3' end, to which the tRNAs corresponding amino acid is attached (by aminoacyl-tRNA synthetases). tRNAs cope with the degeneracy of the genetic code in two manners: having more than one tRNA (with a specific anti-codon) for a particular amino acid; and 'wobble' base-pairing, i.e. permitting non-standard base-pairing at the 3rd anti-codon position. Lineage: Eukaryota; Rhodophyta; Florideophyceae; Gracilariales; Gracilariaceae. The record is from RNAcentral.
UGAAGAGAUGGCUGAGUGGUUGAAAGCGAUAGAUUGUAAAUCUAUUUAUAUAUAAUAGUCGUAGGUUCAAAUCCUACUCUCUUCAA